RNAcentral lists this transfer RNA (79 nucleotides) under Phakopsora pachyrhizi. RNAcentral's name for it is "tRNA-Thr". It matches the Rfam family "tRNA". From Rfam's summary of the family: Transfer RNA (tRNA) molecules are approximately 80 nucleotides in length. Lineage: Eukaryota; Fungi; Basidiomycota; Pucciniomycetes; Pucciniales; Phakopsoraceae. The record is from RNAcentral.
GCCUUAAUAGCUCAGUGGUAGAGCGUUCCACUCGUAUGUCGAAAUGGAAAGGUCUGGUGUUCAAUCCACCAUUGAGGCA